Molecule: ribosomal RNA, 489 nt
Filed under: uncultured bacterium
Lineage: Bacteria
Description: bacterial SSU rRNA
Rfam family: Bacterial small subunit ribosomal RNA
Source: RNAcentral
UGGCUCAGGAUGAACGCGUAGCGGCAGGCUUAACACAUGCAAGGUCGAGGGGUAGAGGAAGCUUGCUUCCUUGAGACCGGCGCACGGGUGCGUAACGCGUAUGCAAUCUACCUUAUACAGGGGAUAGCCCAGAGAAAUUUGGAUUAAUACCCCAUAGUAUAAUUGAAUGGCAUCAUUUAAUUAUUAAAGUUCCAACGGUAUAAGAUGAGCAUGCGUCCCAUUAGCUAGUUGGUGUGGUAACGGCACACCAAGGCGACGAUGGGUAGGGGUCCUGAGAGGGAGAUCCCCCACACUGGUACUGAGACACGGACCAGACUCCUACGGGAGGCAGCAGUGAGGAAUAUUGGUCAAUGGGCGCAAGCCUGAACCAGCCAUGCCGCGUGCAGGAUGACGGUCCUAUGGAUUGUAAACUGCUUUUGUACAGGAAGAAACACUCCCUCGUGAGGGAGCUUGACGGUACUGUAAGAAUAAGGAUCGGCUAACUCCGUG